CCCUUAGACGUUCUGGGCCGCACGCGCGCUACACUGACGAAGGCAACGAGCUUUCCUUUACCGAAAGGUACGGGUAAUCUUUUGAAACUUCGUCGUGCUGGGGAUAGAUCCUUGCAAUUUUUGAUCUUAAACGAGGAAUGCCUAGUAAGCGCAAGUCAUCAACUUGCGUUGAUUACGUCCCUGCCCUUUGUACACACCGCCCGUCGCUCCUACCGAUUGGAUGAUCCGGUGAGCUAUUCGGACUUUCGCAUUGUCGAUUUUCGGCUUUACGAGGGAAAGUCUCGCGAACCUUAUCAUCUAGAGGAAGGAGAAGUCGUAACA
This 321-nucleotide ribosomal RNA is filed under the name uncultured eukaryote. Its description in RNAcentral is "partial 18S ribosomal RNA". It matches the Rfam family "Eukaryotic small subunit ribosomal RNA", at positions 1470 to 1796 of the family's 1831-position model. The record is from RNAcentral.